GGUAUCGUCCUUCAAAAGGAGAACGUUGAACUUACAAAAGAGGUCAACAUUGCUCAUCAGCACAAAAUAGAGUUACAGAAGAAGCUUAGUGGCGAAAGCACAUCAGGUGACGGUGAUCAAGCAAGCGGAAGCUCUAAUAAAGUUCCUGGUAGAUCAACUGCAUAUGAUGCAUCUGAACAUAUUAACCUUGCUUUGAGCAUAGAAAGAGAUGCAGAUGAAUGACAACUAUGCACAGAGUCAACCACUGGAAAGGGAGAUGUCAUGAGUAAUAUAUUAAGGAGCCAUUCCAGAGGACAAAGCUUGACCUUCACCGGAGCCUGUGUGUGGGAAACUUCAAUACCUACAUUUUAUACUACUUUGGCUUACUAGGUUUAUUAAGUAAAACAAAACAGUAUGGACCACUUUAUUAUGUACUAUCAGUGGAAUUUUUUGUUUAACGUACACCUGGAUUACAAGAAAGGGGUAGAGGGUCACAUUAUCUGUAGUAUUAAAUAUCCAACUCAAGGUGGAUGGGUUCAAAAGUCAUAUAUAUCCUCCUUGAUUCACUAUAGUUGUUUCCAUAUGUUACUAUGCUUUACAUUCUUUAUGUUUCGGGAGCCUAUAUCAAAAUGCAUUUCUAUUGUGA
Panicum virgatum (switchgrass) is the source of this 625-nucleotide long non-coding RNA. RefSeq lists it as uncharacterized. The record is from RefSeq and is a predicted model, not a curated record. The transcript is spliced from 3 exons. NCBI's taxonomy places the organism in Eukaryota, Viridiplantae, Streptophyta, Magnoliopsida, Poales, Poaceae.